GACGAACGCUGGCGGCGUGCCUAAUACAUGCCAGUAGAACGCACAGUUUAUACCGUAGCUUGCUACACCAUAGACUGUGAGUUGCGAACGGGUGAGUAACGCGUAGGUAACCUGCCUGGUAGCGGGGGAUAACUAUUGGAAACGAUAGCUAAUACCGCAUAAUAUUGAUUAUUGCAUGAUAAUUGAUUGAAAGAUGCUAUUGCAUCACUACCAGAUGGACCUGCGUUGUAUUAGCUAGUAGGUGAGGUAACGGCUCACCUAGGCGACGAUACAUAGCCGACCUGAGAGGGUGAUCGGCCACACUGGGACUGAGACACGGCCCAGACUCCUACGGGAGGCAGCAGUAGGGAAUCUUCGGCAAUGGACGAAAGUCUGACCGAGCAACGCCGCGUGAGUGAAGAAGGUUUUCGGAUCGUAAAGAUCUGUUGUAAGAGAAGAACGGGUGUGAGAGUGGAAAGUUCACACUGUGACGGUAUCUUACCAGAAAGGGACGGCUAACUACGUG
RNAcentral lists this ribosomal RNA (505 nucleotides) under uncultured bacterium. Its description in RNAcentral is "partial 16S ribosomal RNA". It matches the Rfam family "Bacterial small subunit ribosomal RNA", at positions 28 to 507 of the family's 1533-position model. The record is from RNAcentral.